Molecule: ribosomal RNA, 492 nt
Filed under: uncultured bacterium
Lineage: Bacteria
Description: partial 16S ribosomal RNA
Rfam family: Bacterial small subunit ribosomal RNA
Source: RNAcentral
AGUGAACGCUGGCGGUAGGCCUAACACAUGCAAGUCGAACGGCAGCACAGUAAGAGCUUGCUCUUACGGGUGGCGAGUGGCGGACGGGUGAGGAAUACAUCGGAAUCUACUUUUUCGUGGGGGAUAACGUAGGGAAACUUACGCUAAUACCGCAUACGACCUACGGGUGAAAGCAGGGGAUCUUCGGACCUUGCGCGAUUGAAUGAGCCGAUGUCGGAUUAGCUAGUUGGCGGGGUAAAGGCCCACCAAGGCGACGAUCCGUAGCUGGUCUGAGAGGAUGAUCAGCCACACUGGAACUUAGACACGGUCCAGGGUCCUACGGGAGGCAGCAGUGGGGAAUAUUGGACAAUGGGCGCAAGCCUGAUCCAGCCAUACCGCGUGGGUGAAGAAGGCCUUCGGGUUGUAAAGCCCUUUUGUUGGGAAAGAACAGCAGCAGGUUAAUACCCCGCUGUUCUGACGGUACCCAAAGAAUAAGCACCGGCUAACUUCGUG